RNAcentral lists this long non-coding RNA (6103 nucleotides) under Nicotiana benthamiana. Its description in RNAcentral is "long non-coding RNA (NBEN_LNC034836)". The record is from RNAcentral. Lineage: Eukaryota; Viridiplantae; Streptophyta; Magnoliopsida; Solanales; Solanaceae.
UUGUAAGUCCGAUUCCCAUCCGUUUUGAGUGCUUCCCUUGCAUUGAUUUGAGUGUUUCUUUUUUAUUUAACAUGAUGAGUUAAGUGUAAAGAAUUAUUAUACUCUAGUGCAAUUUAACCGGGUAUUGCAAGUUAUUACACUAUUUUUCAGGCUACCAUAUUAUUCGAGGUCAGCUUAAUUUGGUGGUGAAAACAUUCUUUAAAAUGUCAAUGCACAAAACAUAAAAGAUUUCGUGUGCUUAAAAACAGAUUGGAGGCGGAUUGGCUGAGUAUGCAGUUGCAAAGGAGAGCUUGACUGUUCCAAGGCCAGAAGAAGUAUCGGCUGCUGAAGGUGCCGGGCUUCCAAUUGCUGCUCUUACAGCACACAAGGCCCUAGUUGAUGUUGCUGGAAUCAAAUUAGAUGGAAGUGGACCGCGUAUGAACAUUCUUGUCACGGCUGCCUCGGGUGGUGUUGGACACUAUGCUGUUCAAUUGGCAAAGCUAUGUAAUACUCAUGUUACAGGAACAUGUGGAGCUCGUAACAUUGAUUUCGUAAAGAGUUUGGGAGCAGAUGAGGUUCUUGACUACACGACGCCAGAAGGAGCAGCUCUUAAGAGUCCAUCAGGCCAGAAAUAUGAUGUAGUGGUUCACUGUGCUAGAGGAAUUUCCUGGUCAACAUUUGAGCUUAAUUUGAGUGACACAGGCAAGGUCAUUGAUCUGACUCCCGGGCCCAGCUCAAUGUGCACCUAUGUAUUAAAAAUACUGACCUUCUCCAAAAAGCAGUUGCUGCCAUUGAUUUUGAUUCCUAAAGGAGAUAAGGAACUGAACUUGCUCGUCCGAUUGGUAAAGGAAGGGAAGCUUAAGACUGUAUUUGACUCCAAGCAUCCUCUAAGCAAGGCGCAAGAUGCUUGGGCCAAGAGCCUUGAUGGACAUGCCACGGGGAAGAUCAUUGUGGAGAUAUAACAUUAUUGUCUUUCAAUCGAUCUAAAUGUGGCAAUAUUGGUGUCUCACUGAGCAUUCAGAGUAUCAAGGGUUACCCCGAUAGAUGUAGAUCGAUCAAUCUCAAUCUAUUCAAAGUGAUCAACAAGAUUGGAAAUCGCCUCAAUGAUUCAUGAUUGUGUCUGUAAUGUGCCUACCACUUAAUGUAUCGUAACGUAAUUUUUGGUUUCUUUACCUUUACAGCCACUAUGUAUAAGCAUUCUUUCAGGAAAGUAAUGCCUUUAGAGCCUAUAGUAUAGCUGUAGUUUUUCAUUAUAAAAUGCAGGUGGAUUUUCUUUUUAAAAUUUAGAGCAAUGUGCAAAAUGAAAUGGCUGAUGCCUGAAGGUACAAUACCAGAAAAGCUAAGAAAUAACUUCGACAGGCUAAAAAUCCAGAAGUAAAACUGGUAGUUUGAGGUUAAAACGAGGUUACCUGAUUACACUUUAUACAUGAAAUUGAACGUAGAUUAGCAUUACAAUUAAGAAGAAAAGUUAUAGAUAUAAAGCACACAUAAUUAAGCUUCAAAGUAAAAGUUGAUAAAUCCAAAUGUUGAUUGAGGAAAUAACUCAAGUUAUAGAAAAACCAUCCUGUCUAAGCAUGAGGUACACCUAGAUGAGCAAUAUUAGAGCCCUCCGCAGUAGAUGGGGUAAACACAAGUAGAUCAAAAGCUUGACAUAACUCAGAGUUCUCUCUUUCAAAACAAGUGGAAUUAGCCAAUCUCCAAAAAACAAAAGGCUAAUCUCCAAGAGGAUGAGGUUAAACUCUAUUCGAACUAUCAUUGAAAUUUUGUAGUAAUAUUCUCAAAUCGUCAUUGAACAACAACAACCUAUGAUAAUCUCGUUUAGUGGGGUCUGAGGAAUGUAGUGUGUAUGCAAACCUUAUUUCUACCUUAGGUAGAGAGGCAGUUUUCAAAUAAACCCUUGGCAUCCUUACCUCAAAGAUUUUCUCACCUUGCUCUUGAGAAGACUCGAACUCACAACCUUUUAGUUUAGUUAGAAGGGAAGGUUUUUUAGUAUUAGAAUAACCCCUCUUAAGAGUACAUCAAAUUAUUGUUCAAAUUUCUCACUGGUUAAAAGUCCAGUCAGCUUUAGUGCGCAAUUCUCUGAAUAAAAAGCUUUACUUUUCCCUUGUUUGAAAGUACUGUUAGACCAAAAAAUGUAAUCUUUGAUUAGCCUAAAUAAAUUUCUACAAUAAAGGGUUAAACCUAGUUAAUGAUAAUAAUUUCAUAUCUAUAAUUGGUUAAUAUGAGUGACGUAGUUUAGCGUUGGAAUCAUAUUAAAUGCAGCAUAUAUUUAAUUUUUCAUGACUAUCAGUGAAAAGGUGAAAAGGGAAUGUCUAGAAAUAAAUAGCACUAAAUGAUAUUAAAGUAAAUAAAGAGAAUUAUUAACCUAAUAUUGGAUGAGGUGGAUGAUUCCUCCCCAGGACAAUGAAGGAUGAAAGAUAAAUGUUAGAAUAUUAAGAUCCUUCUCGGAUCUAAUGGAAAAUGUAUGGAAUAAUACAAAAUCGAUUCUCUUUAGAAAGAUAAUGUUUGUAUUCAAUUUAGAGGAAGUAUAAAGAAUGCUCUUAUUAGAGAAUAUCACAUGUCUUUCACUUUAUCUUUCUUUCUAUCUAUAAGGGACAUACCCCCAAUUAACCUAAAAGUACAAGUACAGAGAAUGCCUAGUGAAAUAUUCUCUUAGAGAUUCUACUGCUAAACUAGCCAUUACUGAUAUUUAGUAUACUUGACCUCAGCCUCGAUCGACCGCUCGGCGAUGAGCCCCACUGGUUACUAGUCGAUCUCGACCAAAUUACUUUCUGUUGAUAUUCGUUAGACAGAUUCUGACCCUUACAAGUACAAUUAGAAGAAAGAAUGAUUAAUAAUAACACGCAGUGUUUUUGUGAUCAUAACGUUCUCGCUUCGACCAUAUAACAUUCGAAAAAAAAAGAUCAAAAAGAAAAAGUUCUUGGUGGCUGGUGCUAUAGAGAAAGGUGAGUUCUCUAGGAAAUGACAAUUUUGUUUGAAUAGGCCCAAAUGGUCCAAAAUGAAAUACAACUGCUUUCUUCAAUUUUAAUAUGUUUAUGUUGCUUAUUACAUUUGAAUACACAACAUAAUCUUCAAGAGAAUGGAUUCAAUUGGUUGACAAUCCACUAUAUGAUCUCUUAGCAAUUAAGAGUACUCAAGGUACACCAUUCUAACAAGGCAACAAUUGACUAUUUUCAUGAGUCAAAGCAAUUUCAAUUUUCGACCUUAGUUUUUUAACUAGUGACAAUGGAUAUGCCAACCACUAUAUAUACACGGUUGACUAUUUAUACACAGGAGGAGGAAACGACACCACUUUUCAACCAUUUAAAUGCAAAAUAUUGCUUAAUAUUCGUCCUCAAUCAUUUUAAAUACUGCCGCUGAAAAAGUAGGACAAUGCGGUGAAAUAGUAACUGCUAUGGCAGGGAAGCUAAUGCGCGCGGUGCAGUACGACUCCUAUGGAGGUGGAGCUGAUGGCUUGAAGGUACUUUCUCUUCAUUCCUUUGGAUGGAAACUCUCUAUGUACAAUCAAGGAUUUAUCUUAUAUAUAUCGGCAAUAGAGAAAAAAAAUUUAAGCUAUAGUCUAUGUUAAGUAGGUAUUAUAUCUUAUUUUCUGUGUUACUAAUCCCACUUCUUACUGAUGACUACAUGUAGUUCACUUAUAGUAUAAAUUUUAUGUUUUGCACUGUGAGAACAAAUUCUAUGACUGCUAACUGGAGCAUAAGAAUUUUAAUUUCUAUUUUAUGCAAGUAUCAUGACAAGAGGGGUUGCUCUAAUGGUAAGCAACCCCCACUUCCAACCGAGAGGUUGUGAGUUCAACCAUAUUACGGACCCUUCGGGAUCGUAAAUCACGGGUCCAGGUCCAUUUACUAAAAUCGUUGGUCGAAGUCAACUUAAAUCUAUUUAUUAAAGGCAUACUCAAUAUUUUUCUCAAAUUUCAUAUAAAGAAUUUUUGAAAAUUGCAUCCGGACUGUACACGCAAAUCGAGAAGGAAGAACAUAAGGUUUUGAAGACCUCGGAAUCCCGAAUUAAGUCCUAAAAUACACAAUGACCUUUUGGGUCAUCACAACGUGGUAUGCAUCUGGUACUGCUAACCUACACCGAGUCAAAUAUACUUUCUACCCUUUUCAUUCUAUAUGCAACCCUCACUUCCAAUCAAGAGGUUGUGAGUUCAAGUCUCCCUAAGAGCAAGGUGGGAAGUUCUUGGAGGGAAGGAUGCCGGGGGUCUAUUUGGAAACAGCCUCUCUACCCAUGGUAGGGUAAGGUCUGUGUACCUACUACCCUCCCAGGCCCCACUAAGUGAGAUUAUACUGGGUUGUUGUUGUUGUUGUUGUUGUUGCAAGUAUCAUGAAUAAGGCCUAUGUUACAUGAAACCGGGAAGGAGUACGUAUCUGGUGUGUAUUAAGUAUUUAUACAGUUAAUGUAAUUUUUUGGUGUAUUUUGAAGAAUGCAAAGGUAAUACAGAGCAAGGUUGUAGCCAUAUUACUGAUAUGAUGCACAUAUAUUGCUUGUUGCAGCAUGUUGAAGUUCCAGUGCCUACUCCAGACAAGGAUGAGGUCUUGUUAAAGUUGGAGGCUACAAGCUUAAAUCCAUUAGACUUGAGAUUUCAGAACGGGGUCAAUCGUCCUUUUGUUACUCGCAAAUUUCCUGUUAUACCUGGUAUUUUCAAUAAUCUUCACAACUGAUCCUUUCUUCAGAAUCCAAAAUAAGGAGACACCAAGAGACCCUUUCAAUAUUUUUAUAAUUGCCUAUGUAAAUUUAUUAAAUCUGGUUAGUGAUAAUGGGUGCUUGAGCACUCAUAAAGGACAACGUGGAUCCGCCACUGUCUACUUUAUAUUGUACACUUUUAAUACUGCAUUUUUUGUGAGGAGCAGGUACUGAUGUAGCAGGGGAGGUUGUAGAGGUUGGAUCUAGUGUUAUAAAAUUCAAGGCUGGUGAUAAAGUUGUGGCUAUUCUUAAUCUUCUUGUAAGUCUAAUUGCUUUUCGUUUUGACUUGUUUUCAUUAUGUUAGUCUUGCAUAUUUACGCACCUGCUAGGCUCUAAAUUUACACACAAGUCACAAAAACAAUCGUCUCUGUAUCUUGUCUUAUUUUGGUCUCUGCUACCAAUUUUAGAAGGUAACCUCAUCAACUUGAUCUUUUUGCCUUAAUCUGAUGAGUUUAAGUUAUAUUUUUUAAAACUUUAUCUAAUUCAGUAUCGUUAUGCAGUCCAUAAGUUCAUCCCUUUUGAAGACGAAGUGCUCUCUGCCAAUCUCUUUUCUCGCUAGUUCCCUUAUCCAUCCCAGUUUUACUACGUCUAUAAUAUUAAUACCAUGAGUUUUCUCAUUAAUUUUUUAUCAUCAUGUUCAAAUAGUUAUGCACUUAUAUGAUGUGAAUGGUAGUACUUUACGUCAAAAAGUUAAGUACUCACGAAUCUAAAAUAUGGAUCCGCCACUGAGUCUUGAUAUGGUGAGUUACCUGUUGUUAUGAACCAACUUAACUUGAUAGGGUAAAAAUUCUUUGCAUUGUCAGUGAUGAUAGUUGUAACGUAAUAAUAAUAUGUUCGUGAUGACAGAUAGGAGGUGGAUUGGCUGAAUAUGCAGUUGCAAAGGAGAGCUUUACUGUUCUAAGGCCAGAAGAGGUAUCGGCUGCUGAAGGUGCAUGUCUUCCAAUUGCUGCUAUUACAGCACACAAGACCCUUGUUGACAUUGCUGGAGUCAAAUUAGAUGGAAGUGGACCGCGUAUGAACAUUCUUGUCACGGCUGCAUCGGGUGGUGUUGGACACUAUGUUGUUCAAUUGGCAAAGCUAGGAAAUACUCAUGUUACAGGGACAUGUGGAGCUCGUAACAUUGAGUUCGUAAAGAGUUUAGGAGCAGAUGAAGUUCUUGAUUACAAGACGCCAGAAGGAGCAGCUCUUAAGAGUCCAUCAGGACAGAAAUAUGAUGUAGUGGUUCACUGUGCUAAAGACAUCCCCUGGUCAACAUUUGAGCCUAAUUUGAGUGAGAAUGGUAAGGUCAUUGAUCUGACUCCUGGACCUAGUGCAAUAUGCACCUAUGUAUUUCAGAAACUGACCUUCUCCAAAAAGCAGUUGCUGCCAUUUAUUUUGAUUCCUAAAGGAGAUAAGGAACUGAAGUUGCUUGUUUGGUUGGUGAAGGAAGGGAAGUUUAAGA